ACGCCAAAUUUCGUUAGUCACUUCGAAGCAUAACGUAGGGUUUAAAUUUACUUGACAUCUGGCCUCGCGACUAAACAUUUUAACAAGCUCAAAUCUUUCGAAGCACUUCACGCACGUGUUAUGCGUGCUAAAUGAACGUGACAAUUCUGUUUCAACCAGGAAGUUGUAAAAGAUGAAUUCCAGCGAAAAUGCUUAGAAAUUACAAUUGUUCCAGGAAGUCGUGGACGGUCCAGCCGUGAUCACACUGGUCGUUCUUAUCAACGAGGAUGCCGUAUUACCGAAUCGACUUCCACUGGCCGAGGAGGUCACGUUACUCGUGUUGCUGGUCGUGGUGCACCAUUCUUGGCCGCGUCGAGAUGGCAGCCAGGAUGCGACGAGUACGAAGACACCUCAACGUCCAACGGCAACGACGCGCCG
RNAcentral lists this long non-coding RNA (417 nucleotides) under Megachile rotundata (alfalfa leafcutting bee). Its description in RNAcentral is "uncharacterized LOC105663706, transcript variant X3". Lineage: Eukaryota; Metazoa; Arthropoda; Insecta; Hymenoptera; Megachilidae. The record is from RNAcentral.